GCUAAUACCGCAUACGACCUGAGGGUGAAAGUGGGGGACCGCAAGGCCUCAUGCUAUAGGAGCGGCCGAUGUCUGAUUAGCUAGUUGGUGAGGUAAAGGCUCACCAAGGCGACGAUCAGUAGCUGGUCUGAGAGGACGAUCAGCCACACUGGGACUGAGACACGGCCCAGACUCCUACGGGAGGCAGCAGUGGGGAAUUUUGGACAAUGGGCGAAAGCCUGAUCCAGCAAUGCCGCGUGUGUGAAGAAGGCCUUCGGGUUGUAAAGCACUUUUGUCCG
Molecule: ribosomal RNA, 278 nt
Filed under: Ralstonia sp. SE0705
Lineage: Bacteria; Pseudomonadati; Pseudomonadota; Betaproteobacteria; Burkholderiales; Burkholderiaceae
Description: partial 16S ribosomal RNA
Rfam family: Bacterial small subunit ribosomal RNA
Source: RNAcentral